UUAGAGGAAAAGGAUUUAAACCUUCAACAGAAAAUCCAAAAUUUACCGUAUUAUCAAUUUAUACUAUCCGCUA
This 73-nucleotide transfer RNA is filed under the name Pseudotrapelus sinaitus (Sinai agama). Its description in RNAcentral is "tRNA-Gln". The record is from RNAcentral. Lineage: Eukaryota; Metazoa; Chordata; Lepidosauria; Squamata; Agamidae.